GUCCGUAUCGAUUAGGGGUUAAAUCACUUCGUUGUGGAACAUCUCCUGCUCCGAAGAGCCGCUGGUUCGAUUCCAGCUACGGACA
Molecule: transfer RNA, 85 nt
Filed under: Pleurotus ostreatus (oyster mushroom)
Lineage: Eukaryota; Fungi; Basidiomycota; Agaricomycetes; Agaricales; Pleurotaceae
Also listed under: 1 other name
Description: tRNA-His
Rfam family: tRNA
About the family: Transfer RNA (tRNA) molecules are approximately 80 nucleotides in length. Their secondary structure includes four short double-helical elements and three loops (D, anti-codon, and T loops). Further hydrogen bonds mediate the characteristic L-shaped molecular structure. tRNAs have two regions of fundamental functional importance: the anti-codon, which is responsible for specific mRNA codon recognition, and the 3' end, to which the tRNAs corresponding amino acid is attached (by aminoacyl-tRNA synthetases). tRNAs cope with the degeneracy of the genetic code in two manners: having more than one tRNA (with a specific anti-codon) for a particular amino acid; and 'wobble' base-pairing, i.e. permitting non-standard base-pairing at the 3rd anti-codon position.
Source: RNAcentral